CUCCGCCUGGGGACUAAGGCCGCAAGGUUAAAACUCAAAGGAAUUGACGGAGAUCAGACCAAGUAGUGGAGCAUGUGGUUUAAUCCGAUAAUCCGCGUAGAACCUUACCAAUUCUAGUUUGUAUUUAAAAAUAUAUAGUAUUAUAUUGAUUAGUUUUGUUGCAAUUUAAGUUAUUGUUUCAAAAUAAAUACAGUCAGGUGUUGCAUGGCUGUCGUCAGUCCGUGUCGUGAGAUGUCGGGUUAAAUCCGAUAACGGACGCGACCCUCGAACUAAAUUUUUUUAGUUGAACGAUAAUGUAAGAUUAUAGGAAGGUGAGGACAACGACAAGUCGUUAUGGCCUUUAUGAAUUGGGCUACACACGUGCUACAAUGGUACUUACAAAGAGAUGCAAAAACGCAAGUUUUAGCUAUUCUUCAAAAAGAAAUCGUAGUUCGGAUUAUUCUCUGCAAUUCGAGAAUAUGAAGCUGG
RNAcentral lists this ribosomal RNA (468 nucleotides) under uncultured marine Prymnesiales. RNAcentral describes it as "partial Bacterial small subunit ribosomal RNA". It matches the Rfam family "Bacterial small subunit ribosomal RNA", at positions 867 to 1329 of the family's 1533-position model. Lineage: Eukaryota; Haptophyta; Prymnesiales. The record is from RNAcentral.